GGUGCCUGCGGAGGGAUCAUUACACAAAUAUGAAGGCGGGCUGGAACCUCUCGGGGUUACAGCCUUGCUGAAUUAUUCACCCUUGUCUUUUGCGUACUUCUUGUUUCCUUGGUGGGUUCGCCCACCACUAGGACAAACAUAAACCUUUUGUAAUUGCAAUCAGCGUCAGUAACAAAUUAAUAAUUACAACUUUCAACAACGGAUCUCUUGGUUCUGGCAUCGAUGAAGAACGCAGCGAAAUGCGAUAAGUAGUGUGAAUUGCAGAAUUCAGUGAAUCAUCGAAUCUUUGAACGCACAUUGCGCCCUUUGGUAUUCCAAAGGGCAUGCCUGUUCGAGCGUCAUUUGUACCCUCAAGCUUUGCUUGGUGUUGGGCGUCUUGUCUCUAGCUUUGCUGGAGACUCGCCUUAAAGUAAUUGGCAGCCGGCCUACUGGUUUCGGAGCGCAGCACAAGUCGCACUCUCUAUCAGCAAAGGUCUAGCAUCCAUUAAGCCUUUUUUUCAACUUUUGACCUCGGAUCAGGUAGGGAUACCCGCUGAACUUAAGCAUAUCAUA
RNAcentral lists this ribosomal RNA (552 nucleotides) under Alternaria sp. WJ1. RNAcentral's name for it is "eukaryotic LSU rRNA". The stretch from base 188 to 341 matches the Rfam family "5.8S ribosomal RNA". Lineage: Eukaryota; Fungi; Ascomycota; Dothideomycetes; Pleosporales; Pleosporaceae. The record is from RNAcentral.